Molecule: long non-coding RNA, 586 nt
Organism: Rhincodon typus (whale shark)
Lineage: Eukaryota; Metazoa; Chordata; Chondrichthyes; Orectolobiformes; Rhincodontidae
Exons: 3
Source: RefSeq, a predicted model, not a curated record
GUGAAAACUGUGAUUACCUUCUCUAUACUCAGAAGGCAAUAGACAGGCAUCACAGGAUGAGCCUCCAUUAUUUCACAGGGGAAAACAUCCCAUUACAGGGUAGGGAGAGCCUGUUCCAAUAGAGUGGUGUCCAACAUUAACUUCCUGACCCACCCUGAGGAGAAAAACCUGGUUUUCACAAGACAAGACCAAAACCACCUCUGCUGGGAUAUCAAGACAACCAUGUCCUGCCAACUAGAUAUUGCCAUCAUCUCCACCAUCUCCUGCAGUUAAACGGCUGGCUCUGUCAGAGGCUACUUUCUUGACCACCCAGGACAAAUGGACGGAGGCCUCAAUGUAAGCAGUCUGCCUCCUGCACCCCCGCACCAGCUCAGAUGCUGACAGCUCAGUCACAAUCUGGUGGGCACCUCACUGCAACAGCUCUGCAGCUGGCUCAGGAAGAAAUGCCCCAGGCCGAGGGCAUUGUCAGAGACCAGGCUUCUAAUCAGCCCCAGGCAGGAGAGGCUUCUGUGAAGUCAGCAAACUGGGACUUUGUCCACAUGUGCAGGGAGGAGCAGAAGCAGCAGACAGGAAUGAGGGACUCAAU